This 565-nucleotide ribosomal RNA is filed under the name uncultured Glomeromycotina. RNAcentral describes it as "SSU rRNA". It matches the Rfam family "Eukaryotic small subunit ribosomal RNA", at positions 548 to 1114 of the family's 1831-position model. Lineage: Eukaryota; Fungi; Glomeromycota. The record is from RNAcentral.
UUGGAGGGCAAGUCUGGUGCCAGCAGCCGCGGUAAUUCCAGCUCCAAUAGCGUAUAUUAAAGUUGUCGCAGUUAAAAAGCUCGUAGUUGAAUUUCGGGGUCAGUAGGUUGGUCAUGCCACUGGUAUGUACUGGUCUCACUGAUUCCUCCUUCCUGAUGAGCCGUAAUGCCAUUAAUUUGGUGUUGCGAGGAAUCUGGACUGUUACUUUGAAGAAAUUAGAGUGUUUAAAGCAAGCUAACGCUUGAAUACAUUAGCAUGGAAUAAUGAAAUAGGACGUUCGAUCCUAUUUUGUUGGUUUCUAGGAUUGACGUAAUGAUUAAUAGGGAUAGUUGGGGGCAUUAGUAUUCAAUUGUCAGAGGUGAAAUUCUUGGAUUUAUUGAAGACUAACUACUGCGAAAGCAUUUGCCAAGGAUGUUUUCAUUAAUCAAGAACGAAAGUUAGGGGAUCGAAGACGAUCAGAUACCGUCGUAGUCUUAACCAUAAACUAUGCCGACUAGGGAUCGGAUGAUGUUAAUUUUUUAAUGACUCAUUCGGCGCCUUACGGGAAACCAAAGUGUUUGGGUUC